RNAcentral lists this ribosomal RNA (253 nucleotides) under uncultured bacterium. Its description in RNAcentral is "partial 16S ribosomal RNA". It matches the Rfam family "Bacterial small subunit ribosomal RNA", at positions 524 to 776 of the family's 1533-position model. The record is from RNAcentral.
UACGGGGGGGGCAAGCGUUGUUCGGAAUUACUGGGCGUAAAGGGUUUGUAGGUGGCCAACUAAGUCAGACGUGAAAUCCCUCAGCUUAACUGGGGAACUGCGUCUGAGACUGGAUGGCUUGAGUGCAGGAGAGGAACGCGGAAUUCCAGGUGUAGCGGUGAAAUGCGUAGAUAUCUGGAGGAAUACCGGUGGCGAAGGCGGCAUCCUGGACCGGCAUUGACGCUGAGGAGCGAAAGCCAGGGGAGCAAACGGG